Centrocercus urophasianus (Greater sage-grouse) is the source of this 405-nucleotide long non-coding RNA. RefSeq lists it as uncharacterized. The record is from RefSeq and is a predicted model, not a curated record. NCBI's taxonomy places the organism in Eukaryota, Metazoa, Chordata, Aves, Galliformes, Phasianidae. The transcript has 3 exons.
CCCACAGCUUGUUUUGUAGCUCAGGAAAACAAAAACAAAAGCAAGGCACCAUUUACAAGUAAUCCUCAUUCUACACAUAGCAACUCUGUGAUUGAUAUCGCUUACUGCUUGCCUGUCCUAUGGGCACGUCUGUGAUGGGGAGGGGAUGAGGUGCUGAUAAAUCCAAUCUAGCAGCCAGAACAGCCAGUUCUUUGUGCUCGGCUGAAGAUGGAUGUGUCAAUUACAGGUAAAGCAUUUCUCUGAUAUGAAGCAGGAUGUUCCAGAGGAAUGGGCAGGCCUUUGCACAGGAGCGGGGCAGUGGAGCCAGGACAGGGGAAAGCCAUGGCCUGAGAGCAAUGACUUCUCUGGAACAAUGGUGAGUCAUGAGCCUCUCUGAAUCGAGCUUCAUCACCCAUCUUCCCUUCC